Molecule: non-coding RNA, 1488 nt
Organism: Chelonia mydas (Green sea turtle)
Lineage: Eukaryota; Metazoa; Chordata; Testudines; Cheloniidae
Source: the annotation of a RefSeq genome assembly
CUCCACUAGGCAGGUUUCUCAUGAACCUCGCCCGCCACCCAGUCAGUUGUAGCUGCCUGAAGAGCCGUGAAGUUUAGAUUCCUCUUAGCCGCGGUAUCUGGAGCGUCCCACUUCGUCACAAUAGGAAAAAAAUCAUGGAGACGUAUUAUAUAUUCAGCAUUUGGCUAUUUAAUCACCUAGGUGCUGUGCUGGGGGACUCGGUCCAGUCCAGGGAACCCCACCUCUCUGGAAGAGAAGGAGACGCUGUGACCCUCACUUGUUCUUAUGAGACCAGCUCUACCGGCUACGUCUAUCUCUACUGGUACCGCCAGUUUCCCAACCAAGCCCCGCAGUACAUUCUCUGGAGAGGAGUGAAGCAGGCCAGAGGUCGGAGUGAUACCGCAGGUUUCGCCAAGAAGAGGUUUUCUUCCCAGGUUGAUGACAGCUCCACAGUUCUGAACAUCACAGCCCUGGAGCCGGCAGACACGGCGCUGUAUCUCUGCGCCCUGAGUCUGGCACAGUGACAGAGUCACAUAGGAGAGCCGUACAAAAACCCUCCCUUCCCCGCUGCACUAGAUUUUCAGAGAUUAAUCCUGUUUGCAGAUCUCCGAAGGGGACUCCUUCCACUCUGUACAACCGCAUAUUUUGGGAUGACGAGGGGACCUCAAUUUAUUUGUUCUAGCUCCCUCUAAGAGUUAACUAUUUAAAGAGCUACAUUCAACUGUCACACUUGGAGAAUGUAAAGGGCACGAGCUUAAAUCAUGAAUCAUCUUAGACAUUUUCCUCCACAGUUCUCCAGCGGGCCUCUCCGUGUGUAGUGUGGGACCAAAAAGAAAAAAAGAAGAAGAAGAAGAAAAAAGAAAAACAAAGAAAAAAAAAAGAAGAAGAAGCUCAUUUGUACUAAACUGCGGUGUGGAAAUGUGCGGAUAAAAAUCCAGAUAACAAAUAAAAUCGAAAUCCUUAUUUCUGGUAAAAUUAGGGUGAAAAUGAGUGAGUCAAAUAUGAAAAAAAUACUGUUUAAAAUCCCAUUUGUGGAAAAAUGUGGGUGAAAUAUUUUUAAAAAUUAGGUGAAAAUACGUAUGUUGGCCAGUAUCAGAGGGGUAGCCAUGUUAGUCUGUAUGCACAAAAACAACGAAAGUUUAUGCCCAAAUAAUCGGUUAGUCUUUAAGGCGCUACCGGACUCCUCGCUGUUUUUCCAUAUGUUGGGCUGCGCGUGAUGGGGGGAAGCUACAGCGCACCACGCCGCCAAAGGGACCUGAGUAUUCAAAGGGAAGAAACACUCAUACGAUGGGCUGAUUGGUUCGGUAACUGACAUGCCUUUGUAUUACUGUUUUUUAAAAAGCACAAUUCCCACCGGUAACAGCGAUGCUCCCUAGGAGUGGGGUGUGGCGAACUAAUGGCAGAGCAGCGCCAUCUGCUGGUGAAUGGAACAAAUACGUGUUGCGAGUCGAAACCCCUUUCACUGCUCUACAGAAUUUGAAUGUUCUCCCCUUGCAGCCGGAAUGCCAG